GAUUAACGUUGGCGGUGUGUAUUAGGUAUGCAAGUCGAGCGAUUUUGGUUUCUCGCAAGAGAAAUCAGAGUAGCGGCGCACGGCUGAGUAACACGUAGGAAUCUGCCCUCGAGUGGGGGACAGCUCGCCGAAAGGCGGGGUAAUACCCCCAUAUUCUCACGACGCAAGUUGUGAGGAAAGAGCGUAACUGCUCGCUCAAGGAUGAGCCUGCGGCCUAUCAGGUAGUUGGUGAGGUAACUGCUCACCAAGCCUAUGACGGGGUAGCUGGUCUGGGAGGACGAUCAGCCAGAGGAGCAUUGAGAUACGGGCGCCACUCCUACGGGAGGCAGCAACCAAGAAUAUUGCGCAAUGGGCGAAAGCCUGACGCAGCGACACCGCGUGUAGGAUGAAGGCUCUCGGGUCAUAAACUACUGUGGCGAGGGAAAAAUAAAUGAUGGUACCUCGCUAGAAAGUGGCUGCUAACUAUGUGCCAGAAGCCUCGGUUAGACAUAGGCCACGAACGUUAUCCGGUUUUACUGGGCGUAAAAGGACACGUAGGCGGUUCGAUAAGUCGUGCCUUAAAGCCCGUCGCUCAACGACGGGAUGGGUGCGAUACUGUUGAGCUGGAAUUUUCUUCAGGGGAAUGGAACGCUCUUUGUAGCGGUAAAAUGCGUUGAUAAAAAACGGAACACCAAAUGCGAAGGCAAUUCCCUKGGAAGAUUAUUGACGCUGAGGUUCGAAAGCAUGGGGAGCGAAAGGGAUUAGAGACCCCUGUAGUCCAUGCCCUAAACGCAUGCCUGCUAGUCUUUCUCCGUUUGGGGAGAGGCGUAAGCAAACGCGUUAAGCAGGCCGCCUGGGGAUAACGAUCGCAAGAUUAAAACUCAAACUGAAUAGGCGGGGACCCACCCAACGAGUGGAACAUGUGGCUCAAUUCGAAACAAACCGAAAAACCUCACCAAGGUUUGACAUGAUAUUGGAAUYUCGGCGAAAGCCGAGCCCUCCAUAACGCAAGUUAUGGACAGUACCACAGCUGCUGCAUGGCUGUCGUCAGCUCGUUCCGUGGGGAGU
Molecule: ribosomal RNA, 1047 nt
Filed under: Candidatus Microgenomatota
Lineage: Bacteria
Description: bacterial SSU rRNA
Rfam family: Bacterial small subunit ribosomal RNA
Source: RNAcentral